AGAGUUUGAUCCUGGCUCAGGACGAACGCUGGCGGCGUGCCUAAUACAUGCAAGUCGAGCGGAGCUUAUCCUUCGGGGUAAGCUUAGCGGCGGACGGGUGAGUAACACGUAGGCAACCUGCCCCUUAGCCUGGGAUAACUACCGGAAACGGUAGCUAAUACCGGAUAAUUCUUUUUUCUCAUGAAGGGAGAAUGAAAGGCGGAGCAAUCUGUCAUUAAGGGAUGGGCCUGCGGCGCAUUAGCUAGUUGGUGGGGUAACGGCUCACCAAGGCGACGAUGCGUAGCCGACCUGAGAGGGUGAACGGCCACACUGGGACUGAGACACGGCCCAGACUCCUACGGGAGGCAGCAGUAGGGAAUCUUCCGCAAUGGGCGAAAGCCUGACGGAGCAACGCCGCGUGAGUGAUGAAGGUUUUCGGAUCGUAAAGCUCUGUUGCCAGGGAAGAACGUCCGGUAGAGUAACUGCUACCGGAGUGACGGUACCUGAGAAGAAAGCCCCGGCUAACUACGUG
This 511-nucleotide ribosomal RNA is filed under the name uncultured Paenibacillus sp. RNAcentral's name for it is "bacterial SSU rRNA". It matches the Rfam family "Bacterial small subunit ribosomal RNA", at positions 8 to 507 of the family's 1533-position model. The record is from RNAcentral. Lineage: Bacteria; Bacillati; Bacillota; Bacilli; Caryophanales; Paenibacillaceae.